This 371-nucleotide ribosomal RNA is filed under the name uncultured organism. RNAcentral's name for it is "partial 16S ribosomal RNA". It matches the Rfam family "Bacterial small subunit ribosomal RNA", at positions 527 to 896 of the family's 1533-position model. The record is from RNAcentral.
GUAGGUGGCAAGCGUUGUCCGGAAUUAUUGGGCGUAAAGCGCGCGCAGGCGGUUCUUUAAGUCUGAUGUGAAAGCCCACGGGCUCAACCGUGGAGGGUCAUUGGAAACUGGAGAACUUGAGUACAGAAGAGGAAAGCGGAAUCCACGUGUAGCGGUGAAAUGCGUAGAGAUGUGGAGGAACACCAGUGGCGAAGGCGGCUUUCUGGUCUGUAACUGACGCUGAGGCGCGAAAGCGUGGGGAGCAAACAGGAUUAGAUACCCUGGUAGUCCACGCCGUAAACGAUGAGUGCUAAGUGUUAGGGGGUUUCCGCCCCUUAGUGCUGCAGCUAACGCAUUAAGCACUCCGCCUGGGGAGUACGGCCGCAAGGCUG